UACGUAGGGUGCGAGCGUUGUCCGGAAUUACUGGGCGUAAAGAGUUCGUAGGCGGUUCGGUAAGUCCGCUGUGAAAGUCGGGGGCUCAACCCUCGGAUGCCGGUGGAUACUGUCGGACUAGAGUACGGAAGAGGCGAGUGGAAUUCCUGGUGUAGCGGUGAAAUGCGCAGAUAUCAGGAGGAACACCGAUUGCGAAGGCAGCUCGCUGGGACGUUACUGACGCUGAGACGCGAAAGCGUGGGGAGCAAACAGG
RNAcentral lists this ribosomal RNA (253 nucleotides) under uncultured bacterium. Its description in RNAcentral is "partial 16S ribosomal RNA". It matches the Rfam family "Bacterial small subunit ribosomal RNA", at positions 524 to 776 of the family's 1533-position model. The record is from RNAcentral.